CCUACGGGAGGCAGCAGUGGGGAAUAUUGGACAAUGGGCGAAAGCCUGAUCCAGCCAUGCCGCGUGUGUGAAGAAGGCCUUCGGGUUGUAAAGCACUUUCAGUGGGGAAGAAAGCCUUGGGGCUAAUACCCUCGAGGAAGGACAUCACCCACAGAAGAAGCACCGGCUAACUCCGUGCCAGCAGCCGCGGUAAUACGGAGGGUGCGAGCGUUAAUCGGAAUUACUGGGCGUAAAGCGCGCGUAGGCGGUCUGAUAAGCCGGUUGUGAAAGCCCCGGGCUCAACCUGGGAACGGCAUCCGGAACUGUCAGGCUAGAGUGCAGGAGAGGAAGGUAGAAUUCCCGGUGUAGCGGUGAAAUGCGUAGAGAUCGGGAGGAAUACCAGUGGCGAAGGUGGCCUUCUGGACUGACACUGACGCUGAGGUGCGAAAGCGUGGGUAGCAAACAGGAUUAGAUACCCGAGUAGUC
This 465-nucleotide ribosomal RNA is filed under the name Vreelandella stevensii. RNAcentral's name for it is "partial 16S ribosomal RNA". It matches the Rfam family "Bacterial small subunit ribosomal RNA", at positions 338 to 795 of the family's 1533-position model. The record is from RNAcentral. Lineage: Bacteria; Pseudomonadati; Pseudomonadota; Gammaproteobacteria; Oceanospirillales; Halomonadaceae.